Molecule: transfer RNA, 77 nt
Filed under: Staphylococcus pseudintermedius
Lineage: Bacteria; Bacillati; Bacillota; Bacilli; Caryophanales; Staphylococcaceae
Description: tRNA-Asp
Rfam family: tRNA
About the family: Transfer RNA (tRNA) molecules are approximately 80 nucleotides in length.
Source: RNAcentral
GGUCCCGUAGUGGAGUGGUUUAACACGCCUGCCUGUCACGCAGGAGAUCGCGGGUUCGAUUCCCGUCGGGACCGCCA